AAAGUCGUAACAAGGUUUCCGUAGGUGAACCUGCGGAAGGAUCAUUCAUAAUCAAGUGUUUUUAUGGCACUUUAAAAAUCCAUAUCCACCUUGUGUGCAAUGUCAUCUCACUUGGGUCACGGCUGUAAAACGCCGGCAGCCCGUUUGGAUUUAUAUCUACUCAGAAUUUUAAUCAUUUUGUCUGAAACAUAUUAUGAAUAACUUAAUUCAAAAUACAACUUUCAACAACGGAUCUCUUGGCUCUC
RNAcentral lists this unclassified non-coding RNA (245 nucleotides) under Mucoromycotina sp. RNAcentral describes it as "partial contains small subunit ribosomal RNA, internal transcribed spacer 1, and 5.8S ribosomal RNA". The stretch from base 1 to 47 matches the Rfam family "Eukaryotic small subunit ribosomal RNA", at positions 1785 to 1831 of the family's 1831-position model. The record is from RNAcentral. Lineage: Eukaryota; Fungi; Mucoromycota.